RNAcentral lists this ribosomal RNA (415 nucleotides) under Crepidula naticarum. Its description in RNAcentral is "partial 28S ribosomal RNA". The record is from RNAcentral. Lineage: Eukaryota; Metazoa; Mollusca; Gastropoda; Littorinimorpha; Calyptraeidae.
AAACCGCCUAGAGGUAAACGGGUGGAUCCGCAAAGUCGGCCCGCGGAAUUCAGCUCGGCAGGUCGCGCGCCCGCGGGUGGGUCGGGGAUCUUUAUCGACCCUCCCACCUCGGGACCGCGCGCCGACCGUGUGCACUUUCCGCGGGCAGAGCGCCACGACCGGUUCUCGGGCGGUCAGAAGGCGGCGGGGAUGGUAGGCGUGCGCUUCGGCGUGCGCUGGUAUAGCCCCGUCUGUCCCGAUCCGCUCGGGGACCGAGGAGCCGCCGCCGGCGUAGGCCGCCUUUCCCUCCAUGGAGGUUCGACUGGCAGAGACUGGGCAACCGUGUCUGCCGACCGCCUCCUAGGACGGACGGGGUGGGCCCGCCGGCACAGGGUCGGUGGCGAAUCGGUCGGCCCUCCACCCGACCCGUCUUGAA